This 118-nucleotide ribosomal RNA is filed under the name Pteropus alecto (black flying fox). The record is from RNAcentral. Lineage: Eukaryota; Metazoa; Chordata; Mammalia; Chiroptera; Pteropodidae.
GGCUGCGGCCAUGCCACCCUGAACAAGCCUCUCCUGUCUGAUCUCGGAAGCUAAGCAGGGUCGGGCCUAGUUAGUGCUUGGAUGGGAGACCACUUAGGAAGACCAAGUGCUGCAGGUG